Long non-coding RNA from Homo sapiens (human), 355 nucleotides. RefSeq lists it as uncharacterized. Lineage: Eukaryota; Metazoa; Chordata; Mammalia; Primates; Hominidae. The transcript is spliced from 3 exons. The record is from RefSeq and is a predicted model, not a curated record.
CAGCCACCCACCCCAUCCCACCUCCUUGGGAACCCUUGGUCCUGCAGCACCUCCCUAUGGGGUCCCUGAGGAGAAGCUGAUCUGCAAUAUUGGCCAAUGCUCUCUCUGUGAAACUUCAAACUUCAAAUGAGGCCCACCUUACAUGGGUCACCAUGUGCAUGGAAAGAAUGUAUUUACACUCAGAAGAAAGCAUGAAGAAAGAACCUCCAUAUCUAUACCAUCCCUUCCUACCCAACUUUGAGCAUGGUUGUGCGAGGAUGUGAUGCCAGAAGAUGCCACAGUCACAGUCAUAUUUCAACCAUAUAGGAAGACUGAGAAAUUUGCAGCGAUCCCAAACAAGAGCUCUGACAUUGGC